GAUGAACGCUGGCGGCGUGCUUAACACAUGCAAGUCGAACGAUGAAGCCCAGCUUGCUGGGUGGAUUAGUGGCGAACGGGUGAGUAACACGUGAGUAACCUGCCCUUGACUCUAGGAUAAGCCCGGGAAACUGGGUCUAAUACUGGAUAGUAACGUCUCCCGCAUGGUGGGUGUUGGAAAGAAUUUCGGUCAUGGAUGGACUCGCGGCCUAUCAGCUUGUUGGUGAGGUAAUGGCUCACCAAGGCGACGACGGGUAGCCGGCCUGAGAGGGUGACCGGCCACACUGGGACUGAGACACGGCCCAGACUCCUACGGGAGGCAGCAGUGGGGAAUAUUGCACAAUGGGCGAAAGCCUGAUGCAGCGACGCCGCGUGAGGGAUGACGGCCUUCGGGUUGGAAACCUCUUUCAGUAGGGAAGAAGCGAAAGUGACGGUACCUGCAGAAGAAGCACCGGCUAACUACGUG
RNAcentral lists this ribosomal RNA (465 nucleotides) under uncultured bacterium. Its description in RNAcentral is "partial 16S ribosomal RNA". It matches the Rfam family "Bacterial small subunit ribosomal RNA", at positions 28 to 507 of the family's 1533-position model. The record is from RNAcentral.